RNAcentral lists this small RNA (124 nucleotides) under Salmonella enterica. RNAcentral's name for it is "partial RtT sRNA". It matches the Rfam family "RtT RNA", at positions 41 to 130 of the family's 130-position model. Rfam says of the family: This family represents a bacterial cis-regulatory element known as RtT RNA. The exact function of RtT is unknown although it is thought that it may be involved in changing the cellular response in relation to amino acid starvation. The record is from RNAcentral. Lineage: Bacteria; Pseudomonadati; Pseudomonadota; Gammaproteobacteria; Enterobacterales; Enterobacteriaceae.
GUUCGAAUCCUGCACGACCCACCAAUAUACAAGGUGGUAACUGGUAGAGAACGUGAAGGAUAAUGUUGCUUUAGCAACGGCCCGAAGGGCGAGGCAAAGCCGAGUCAUCCUGCACGACCCACCA